CCUACGGGUGGCAGCAGUCGAGAAUCAUUCACAAUGGGGGAAACCCUGAUGGUGCGACGCCGCGUGGGGGAAUGAAGGUCUUCGGAUUGUAAACCCCUGUCAUGUGGGAGCAAAUUAAAAAGAUAGUACCACAAGAGGAAGAGACGGCUAACUCUGUGCCAGCAGCCGCGGUAAUACAGAGGUCUCAAGCGUUGUUCGGAAUCACUGGGCGUAAAGCGUGCGUAGGCUGUUUAGUAAGUCGUGUGUGAAAGGCGCGGGCUCAACCCGCGGACGGCACAUGAUACUGGGAGACUAGAGUAAGGGAGGGGGAACCGGAAUUCUCGGUGUAGCAGUGAAAUGCGUAGAUAUCGAGAGGAACACUCGUGGCGAAGGCGGGUUCCUGGACAUUAACUGACGCUGAGGCACGAAGGCGAGGGGAGCGAAAGGGAUUAGAUACCCUAGUAGUC
Molecule: ribosomal RNA, 446 nt
Filed under: uncultured bacterium
Lineage: Bacteria
Description: partial 16S ribosomal RNA
Rfam family: Bacterial small subunit ribosomal RNA
Source: RNAcentral